UGGGGAAUAUUGCACAAUGGGCGAAAGCCUGAUGCAGCAACGCCGCGUGAGCGAUGAAGGCCUUCGGGUCGUAAAGCUCUGUCCUCAAGGAAGAUAAUGACGGUACUUGAGGAGGAAGCCCCGGCUAACUACGUGCCAGCAGCCGCGGUAAUACGUAGGGGGCUAGCGUUAUCCGGAAUUACUGGGCGUAAAGGGUGCGUAGGUGGUUUCUUAAGUCAGAAGUGAAAGGCUACGGCUCAACCGUAGUAAGCUUUUGAAACUGAGAAACUUGAGUGCAGGAGAGGAGAGUAGAAUUCCUAGUGUAGCGGUGAAAUGCGUAGAUAUUAGGAGGAAUACCAGUAGCGAAGGCGGCUCUCUGGACUGUAACUGACACUGAGGCACGAAAGCGUGGGGAGCAAACAG
Molecule: ribosomal RNA, 402 nt
Filed under: uncultured bacterium
Lineage: Bacteria
Description: bacterial SSU rRNA
Rfam family: Bacterial small subunit ribosomal RNA
Source: RNAcentral